This is a long non-coding RNA of Gossypium arboreum, 433 nucleotides long. RefSeq lists it as uncharacterized. The record is from RefSeq and is a predicted model, not a curated record. NCBI's taxonomy places the organism in Eukaryota, Viridiplantae, Streptophyta, Magnoliopsida, Malvales, Malvaceae. The transcript is spliced from 2 exons.
AAGAAUUAAAUGGAUGAAAUAUGAAAUUUUAUUAAAAGAAAAAGGGGUGAAAAGAACAAAGUUUUGUCCAUCUUUGUUCAUCAUAGCCUAAAGUUAGAGAAGAGAAAGGAGAGGAGAAAGCUCUUGAAUGUUCGGUCACUUGGGGAAGAAAAUUGAAGGAAAUCCCCAACCAUAGUGGGCUUGGAGCUGUGAGGGAAUUCAGAGUGGCCACCCGUUCUGAAGGUUUGAUUUUCUUCUGGUGAACUGGACAUCCUUUUAUUUACGUUUGAAGUUUUGGGUUUUUAAAUGUAAUAAGGCCGCUUAAUUAUUUUUUAUGGUUUUAAUAUGUAUUACUAAGAUAGGUAUUACUUAUUUUAACUGUUGAAAUUGGAUAGCUUUAGGGCGCGUUUUCAAAAACAACAAUUGAUUUCAAAAUAACACGACAACAAAUAAA